CAGCAGCCACGGGAAUACGAAGGGUGCAAGCGUUACUCGGAAUUACUGGGCGUAAAGCGUGCGUAGGUGGUGGUUUAAGUCCGUUGUGAAAGCCCUGGGCUCAACCUGGGAAUUGCAGUGGAUACUGGGUCACUAGAGUGUGGUAGAGGAUAGUGGAAUUUCCGGUGUAGCAGUGAAAUGCGUAGAGAUCGGAAGGAACAUCUGUGGCGAAGGCGACUAUCUGGGCCAACACUGACACUGAGGCACGAAAGCGUGGGGAGCAAACAGGAUUAGAUACCCCGUAGUCCCUGUCUCUUAUACC
Molecule: ribosomal RNA, 301 nt
Filed under: uncultured bacterium
Lineage: Bacteria
Description: partial 16S ribosomal RNA
Rfam family: Bacterial small subunit ribosomal RNA
Source: RNAcentral